This is a long non-coding RNA of Phycodurus eques (leafy seadragon), 3107 nucleotides long. RefSeq lists it as uncharacterized. The record is from RefSeq and is a predicted model, not a curated record. Lineage: Eukaryota; Metazoa; Chordata; Actinopteri; Syngnathiformes; Syngnathidae. The transcript has 2 exons.
UCUCUCCGGUGCCGAUGACGUCACUUUCGCUUUCCUCAUCAUUGGGCGACAAGAUUUGACUCGCGUGGCGUCGUUGUGUCGCUCAAAUGAAGUCGAGGGUGCGAAAUUGGAGACGAGAAGCAGCGCGAGUGUUUUGGGAAGCUUGUGCUGAAACAGCGACGCUUUCGUUCUUGGCGCACGCGCGAGCCUUUCGGGGAAAUCACGUGACCGCGCCGAAACACACAACGAUACGCGUGCGCACAUACACGGAACACACGUGCAGUCGAUCUGGUCAAGGAGUUACAAAAUGUGACAUUUGUGCUCGGUUGAUGCGCAAGUCAUCAUGAAUAAAAAUGGCGAUCCUCUUUCAAAUGGAGAAAAAUCCAACUCAGUGGUCGCAAUGGGAGAUGAGAGUCGUUCGAAAAAUACCAUUUGUGUCAACUCCUGACGAUUUGCGACUUCCUCGACAUUUGGCAGAUCCACUUGUUGACACUGUUUAUGACGUACGUUGCUGCGCAUUGUAUGCAGAGUCGUGUAGGAUUGCGCAAUACAAUGCCGCACUGUGUCAUACUAGUGUCCCGUAAUCUAGUGUAUUGUGCGACAGUAGUGUGUCAUGAACGGAACAGAGGCUAGGACCCAAAAAUGCAAGACUCCAAAACAAAUGGACAGUUUCCAAAAAGAGAGGUUUAAUAGACGGGCAUAGGUCGGUACACGGGCAGGCAAUCCAAGAAGGGCAACAGUAUCCAAGAACAUGAGGCAAAGAGGCAAGGUCGAUAAUCGGACCAGGGUCAAAGUCUUACUGUGAGUCUGUGACAAGGAAUGCUGGAACGUGACGACAAGACAGGCGCGUUCCCGACGCGUGUGGAAAAAGAAGCGCAAGAUCCCGUGAUGUUUGGCAGGACGACGGUGGCGGCGGCGGCGGCCUUCCUGGACGCCUUCCAGAAGGUGGCGGACAUGGCGACCGGCAGCCGAGGUAGGAGGCGGGCCUCGGCGACAGCUCGGUGGAACUAAACAGCGUCGGAAGCACUGACCGACAUUCAUAACCUUUGUAUUAAUUAAUCCCUAAACUUUUAUUUUCAUGACCUCCCAUUUUUUUUGGAGGGGUGGGGAGGGGUUGGACUUAUGGUACAUUAUUCGCAGGCUAAAGUACUGCAUGUGUUAAUUUGGUGCCAUUGUUUUGGUCAAGGAACUCUUUUGAAGUGAGUUGCGAUACUUCAUUAACACAAAAGUAGUGCUUUGUUACCAUAGAGUGGCAUCUUGGUGCCAAGGAACUAUGCUGAAACGAGUUGAGGGGUUUCCUAUCGACAAAAGUAGCACAUUGAGGCUAUGUAGUGUGCCAUCUUGGUGCUGAGGAACUAUGUUGAACUCAGUUGAGGAGUUUCCUUUGGACAAAAGUAGCACAUUGAGGGUAUACUGUGGCCUCUUGGCGCCGAUAAAUGAUGUUGAAGUGAGUUUAGGAGUUUCAUUUUGAGUUUUUUAAAAGUAGAGCUUUGGCACCAUCCAUCUUGGUGCUCAGGGCCUAUGUUGAAAUCAACUGAGGAGUUUCAUUUGGCCUCUUCAAAACAUUGAUUUUGUUGUCCUGAAGCCACUUCGUAAACCAGUUUGGCAGUAUGCUUGCGGUCAACGUUCAUUGGGACGACCCAAUUUCAUUUCAGCCAAGCGUUAACUUCCUGGCUGAUGUCAAGGCGUUGCUGCGUCAGUAUUUCCACAUGAUGAUCUUUCUGGAGCAAAGCAAGCCCACAACAUGAUGCUGCCACCCCUGUGUUGCACAGUUGGGAUGGUGUUCUCAGGCUUGCACCUUUCCCACUUUAUCCUCCAACUCUAACCAUUCUCAUUACGGCCAAGCAGUUCAAUUUUAGCUUUUUCACACCACAGGACCUGUCUCAAAAAAUGAGGGACUUUGUGCCUCACCUGGGAACUCAGUGAGUUGCUCCAGCUGCUCUCCUACUUUCUCCUCUUCUUUAAUGUAGGAGGGAACUGAUUCAUGCUGCUGCUGCUGCUCAGGAGGUACAUGUUGAAAAACACAAGAACGCGUGCCUUUAUUAUUUCAUAUUUGCAGCUCGUAUCACACCCUUAACAAUGGUGGUAUGGUGCCAAUACUGUACAUUGCUACUCGUACUCAAACCUGGACUAAAAAGCUGCAAUACGACAACAGACGACGUACUGUACUAUUCUGUCCUCUCUGAAUGUGCAGUGAGCAGUUUGGCAGAGAACAAACGGUUCUUCAAAAAAGAGUCCACGUGGUUUUGGACGCACCAGUUGAAGUUGACAGUCAAACGAAGCGCCUCACCUGAGAACUCGGUGAGCCGCUCCAGCUCUUUUCCUGCAUGCUCCUCGCCCUCCUCCUCCUCUUCUUCUUUAACACGGAGGGGCUCCGGUUCAUGCUGCUGCUGCUCGGGGGGAACGUCUCGAAAAAUAGUACAACACAUGCUUUUGUGAUUUCGUAUUUGCAGUUCGGAAAUGACACAUUCCAAACUGGAAUCUUUCCAUGGGCAUUAGCUGGGAAUUGACGGUCAUUUAAUGGCGAGCUGUCACUCACAUUGGAGCAUCAACCGAGCCCCGGCACAAACAACGCAAAUCUGCGAGGAAUUGAAAAAAAGACCAAAAAAAAUUGUUGAAAAUUCUCUUGACAUGCCAGAAGACAGAGCACUGCUUUAGUCGAAAUGAAACUCCUCAAUUCACUUCAUCAUAGUUGCCAUAGUUGCUGGCACAAAAGCAGAAAAUUUGGGAGUUUUUCAGCAAAUAUCAGAGGAUAGCACCCCCCCCCCCCCCCCCCCAAAAAAAAAUUAAUGUGCGGGAGCACACUUGCCAAUCUUGAUUUGUUCUUUGAAUUAUUCAAAAUUGGACAAACGUGUGUUGUCGUCGAGAGAGCAGCCGAUUAAAAAUACCGAUUUUUGUUUGUUUUCUACCAUUCACCGAGAGUUGUAUUGGGCGAAUAAAAAUGGCUAAAACGUGGUUUUAGCUGGCCAGCCCUGGUAGUUUUUAUUUCUCAUGUUUACAAUAUGCGGACUGAAUUACACUAUUCACAAAAAUACACGACGUAUAACCUUUCUGGGUGAACUUCAUUUUGUCUCCAUACACUUACCACCGUCAAUGUAAAACGAAACAAUGUGAUUCAAGUGCGUCGA